AUGAUAAUGUGCUUUUGGUCCUGGAGUUUGACUCUGGUGACUACAACAGGAAAGGACCUGGAAUCUGUGUCUCCUGUCUUCCAGAAAAGACGAAGGGACAGACAUCAGAAGAGGAGCAUCGAAGACAAGCUUGAGAGUGCUUUGCUGGAUUUUCAAAGAAUGGCGAGAAUCAGCUGUUGGCAUUUGCCAUAUAAACAUAUGGAGACUUACCAACUCAAGAGAACAUACUAGACAACUGAGAACAGAGCACAUUCCUGAAGAAAAGGGGAUAUGCUAUAUACACCAGGGUGACUGAACUCUCCUGUCUGGAUGGAAGGAUUUCAGCCAGGUCAUUAACAAAACUGCCUUAAAGAAGCUCUUGAUUCUUUAUGGAAGAAGUAAAAGGGGAAACAGUGUUCAGAGCAUACCAGGAAAGUAUCACAAUUGCCUUCCUGGUGCCUGUGCAUUGCAAGAAGAAAUAAACAUAGCAAGGUUAUCUCUGAUAAAGUGCA
Molecule: long non-coding RNA, 491 nt
Filed under: Anas platyrhynchos platyrhynchos (common mallard)
Lineage: Eukaryota; Metazoa; Chordata; Aves; Anseriformes; Anatidae
Description: lncRNA (ENSAPLG00000028449.1)
Source: RNAcentral